AGGAGAUGGUGGACCCACAAGUGGGCGCCAACCUUCGCGCGGCAGUCUGACAGAGGAAUGAUAUUAAAAACAAUACAAGUGAAAAAGAGAAAAAUGAGAACAAUAUCAUCACUUGAAAAUUGUGCCUGCCCAUACCCAUGUCACAUCCAGGAUAAGAUUCCUCUUUACCAUCCCAAGGAUGGGAUGUCCGACAGGUAUGGGAAUGUUUGUAACAAGAAAUAUGUUUCAAGAGAGGAAGCACAUUUUAAACCAUAACAAAAAAUGAAUUCAACACACACAUACACACAAAAAUAAAAUCUCUACGUGAUUUAGAGUUCUGAAUAUCAUCACAUGAAUAACUAAUCAACCUCAAAGAUUAUAUCCAUCAAGGCAUAAAACUCUUUAAUGCAAUUCGAAAAAAUUCAACGAAAAAGAAUUAAAACAACAUUGAAAUUUUAAUACCAAAAUUCUCAGAGUAUGUACCUGCAGAUCAUGUUGGGC
Molecule: unclassified non-coding RNA, 480 nt
Filed under: Hevea brasiliensis (rubber tree)
Lineage: Eukaryota; Viridiplantae; Streptophyta; Magnoliopsida; Malpighiales; Euphorbiaceae
Source: RNAcentral